Molecule: ribosomal RNA, 482 nt
Filed under: uncultured bacterium
Lineage: Bacteria
Description: bacterial SSU rRNA
Rfam family: Bacterial small subunit ribosomal RNA
Source: RNAcentral
GACGAACGCUGGCGGCGUGCCUAACACAUGCAAGUCGUACGGAGUUCACUUGGAAGCUUGCUUCCGAGUGAACUUAGUGGCGGACGGGUGAGUAACGCGUGAGCAACCUGCCUCACAGAGGGGGAUAACACACGGAAACGUGUGCUAAUACCGCAUAAUCCGAUGAAGCGGCAUCGCUUUAUCGGCAAAGGAGCAAUCCGCUGUGAGAUGGGCUCGCGUCCGAUUAGAUAGUUGGUGAGGUAACGGCUCACCAAGUCUACGAUCGGUAGCCGGACUGAGAGGUUGGACGGCACAUUGGGACUGAGACACGGCCCAAACUCCUACGGGAGGCAGCAGUGAGGGAUAUUGCACAAUGGGCGAAAGCCUGAUGCAGCGACGCCGCGUGAGGGAUGACGGUCUUCGGAUUGUAAAACCUCUGUCCUUGGUGAAGAAGAAAGUGACGGUAGCCAAGGAGAAGCCACGGCUAACUACGUGCAGCACGG